GCCGGGCGUGGUGGCGCACGCCUGUAGUCCCAGCUACUUGGGAGGCUGAGGCAGGAGAAUUGCUUGAACCCAGGAGGUGGAGGUUGCAGUGAGCUGAGAUCGUGCCACUGCACUCCAGCCUGGGUGACAGAGUGAGACUCCAUCUCAA
Molecule: non-coding RNA, 148 nt
Filed under: Homo sapiens (human)
Lineage: Eukaryota; Metazoa; Chordata; Mammalia; Primates; Hominidae
Source: Rfam by way of RNAcentral